AGCUUUGUGCAGUGGCAGUAUCGUACCCAAUGAGGUUUACCCUAGGUGUGAUUAUUGCUAAUUGAAACCUCAAAGCCUAUCCCCAAUGACACAUUUCCUCCAACAAGGCCGUAUAUUCUAAUCUUUUCUAAACAGUUCCACCAACUGG
This is a small nuclear RNA of Grammomys surdaster, 148 nucleotides long. RefSeq annotates it as U4 spliceosomal RNA. NCBI's taxonomy places the organism in Eukaryota, Metazoa, Chordata, Mammalia, Rodentia, Muridae. The record is from RefSeq and is a predicted model, not a curated record. The transcript has a single exon.